UACAUCUUGGUGUAUGGUGCACACCAGCUUUUGAUGUUCGGUGGUGGUAGUUUGAUUCUGUUAGAUGUAA
This 70-nucleotide transfer RNA is filed under the name Microtermes sp. F MLW-2023a. RNAcentral describes it as "tRNA-Gln". Lineage: Eukaryota; Metazoa; Arthropoda; Insecta; Blattodea; Termitidae. The record is from RNAcentral.